Long non-coding RNA from Mastomys coucha (southern multimammate mouse), 524 nucleotides. RefSeq lists it as uncharacterized. The record is from RefSeq and is a predicted model, not a curated record. NCBI's taxonomy places the organism in Eukaryota, Metazoa, Chordata, Mammalia, Rodentia, Muridae. The transcript is spliced from 3 exons.
GAAGGAAGGAAGUAAACUCCUCAGGAUUCUCUAAAGAAGCAUGGAGAGACGUUCUGAUCGAUUGGCGGUAGAUUUAACACCCAUGGCUGAAGGAGGAGGAAACCUGACAUCAGAGACUGGAAGGGAAGCCCACUGCUGACCAACCACGAGAACCACUGCUUCUAAUCAAGAUCUCAAUUUAGGGACCAACACCUCUCUCCAUUAAAGGGCGUAUGAGCUUUAAUAAUGAGACUAAAAUGAUUCCGAUUAGACUGAAGGGAAAGUCAAUGCUACAGCAGAGACAACUGUGUUUCCCAGAUGAGGACAACUUCAUCUUCCAACUACCUUCAUGUUUAGUGUUCAAGACUCAGCAAACGUGAGCAGCCUAUGCUGUGUAGCCAUUCAUAGAAGGGGUGCUGCCUGAGCAUAAAAGGGAGUCUUUGGAAAAAUCAGAUUGCUAACGCCUUUGAUGAGCACCCUGCUGCUCACUGGAGGAUAGAAAGAUGGCUUGCAGGCUCAAGGAAUUUGUGUUUCAAAUCAAAAGG